GAGCGCGGUAGUUUAAGCGGCAGAACGGCCUCGGGAGGGGUCAGUGCGGGUUCGAAUCCCGUCCGCGCGCGC
This 72-nucleotide transfer RNA is filed under the name Streptomyces phage Manuel. RNAcentral's name for it is "tRNA-OTHER". It matches the Rfam family "tRNA". From Rfam's summary of the family: Transfer RNA (tRNA) molecules are approximately 80 nucleotides in length. Their secondary structure includes four short double-helical elements and three loops (D, anti-codon, and T loops). Further hydrogen bonds mediate the characteristic L-shaped molecular structure. tRNAs have two regions of fundamental functional importance: the anti-codon, which is responsible for specific mRNA codon recognition, and the 3' end, to which the tRNAs corresponding amino acid is attached (by aminoacyl-tRNA synthetases). tRNAs cope with the degeneracy of the genetic code in two manners: having more than one tRNA (with a specific anti-codon) for a particular amino acid; and 'wobble' base-pairing, i.e. permitting non-standard base-pairing at the 3rd anti-codon position. Lineage: Duplodnaviria; Heunggongvirae; Uroviricota; Caudoviricetes. The record is from RNAcentral.